Molecule: ribosomal RNA, 272 nt
Filed under: uncultured soil bacterium
Lineage: Bacteria
Description: partial 16S ribosomal RNA
Rfam family: Bacterial small subunit ribosomal RNA
Source: RNAcentral
AGAAUCAACGCUGGCGGCGUGCCUCAGACAUGCAAGUCGAACGCGAAAGUCCCCUUCGGGGAUAAGUAGAGUGGCGCACGGGUGAGUAACACGUAGGUAAUCUACCUUCGGGUGGGGAAUAACCCAGGGAAACUUGGGCUAACACCGCAUAAUGCAGCGGCACCACAUGGUGACAGUUGUUAAAGCGGGGGAUUUUAGGACCUCGCGCCUGAAGAGGAGCCUGCGGCAGAUUAGCUAGUUGGUAAGGUAACGGCUUACCAAGGCGACGAUCU